This 334-nucleotide ribosomal RNA is filed under the name uncultured Pelotomaculum sp. RNAcentral describes it as "bacterial SSU rRNA". It matches the Rfam family "Bacterial small subunit ribosomal RNA", at positions 1049 to 1382 of the family's 1533-position model. Lineage: Bacteria; Bacillati; Bacillota; Clostridia; Eubacteriales; Desulfotomaculaceae. The record is from RNAcentral.
UUGUCGUCAGCUCGUGUCGUGAGGAUGUUGGGUUAAGUCCCGCAACGAGCGCAACCCUACGUUUAGUUGCUAACGCGUGAAGGCGAGCACUCUAGACGAACUGCCGUUGACAAAACGGAGGAAGGUGGGGAUGACGUCAAAUCAUCAUGCCCCUUAUGUUCUGGGCUACACACGUGCUACAAUGGCCGGUACAGACGGACGCAAAGCCGCGAGGUGGAGCAAAUCCUAAAAAGCCGGUCUCAGUUCGGAUUGCAGGCUGCAAUUCGCCUGCAUGAAGUCGGAAUCGCUAGUAAUCGCAGGUCAGCAUACUGCGGUGAAUACGUUCCCGGGCCUU